UGAAGAGCUUGCUCUUUAUCGAAUCCAGUGGCAAACGGGUGAGUAACACGUAAACAACCUGCCUUCAGGAUGGGGACAACAGACGGAAACGACUGCUAAUACCGAAUACGUUCCACGGGCCGCAUGACCUGUGGAAGAAAGGGUAGCCUCUACCUGUAAGCUAUCGCCUGAAGAGGGGUUUGCGUCUGAUUAGGCAGUUGGUGGGGUAACGGCCCACCAAACCAACGAUCAGUAGCCGGUCUGAGAGGAUGAACGGCCACACUGGAACUGAGACACGGUCCAGACUCCUACGGGAGGCAGCAGUGGGAAAUCUUCCGCAAUGGACGAAAGUCUGACGGAGCAACGCCGCGUGAGUGAAGACGGCCUUCGGGUUGUAAAGCUCUGUGAUCCGGGACGAAAGAGCCUGAGGUGAAUAGCCUUAGGAAGUGACGGUACCGGAAAAGCAAGCCACGGCUAACUACGUGCCAGCAGCCGCGGUAAUACGUAGGUGGCAAGCGUUGUCCGGAAUUAUUGGGCGUAAAGCGCGCGCAGGCGGCUUCCUAAGUCCAUCUUAAAAGUGCGGGGCUUAACCCCGUGAUGGGAUGGAAACUGGGAAGCUGGAGUAUCGGAGAGGAAAGUGGAAUUCCUAGUGUAGCGGUGAAAUGCGUAGAGAUUAGGAAGAACACCGGUGGCGAAGGCGACUUUCUGGACGAAAACUGACGCUGAGGCGCGAAAGCGUGGGGAGCAAACAGGAUUA
Molecule: ribosomal RNA, 736 nt
Filed under: uncultured Veillonellaceae bacterium
Lineage: Bacteria; Bacillati; Bacillota; Negativicutes; Veillonellales; Veillonellaceae
Description: bacterial SSU rRNA
Rfam family: Bacterial small subunit ribosomal RNA
Source: RNAcentral